CCCUUAGAUGUUCUGGGCCGCACGCGUGCUACACUGAGCCCUUCAUCGAGUUUACAACCUUGGCCGGUAGGUCUGGGUAAUCUUCUCAAAGGGGCUCGUGCUGGGGAUAGAUUAUUGUAAUUUUUAAUCUUCAACGAGGAAUUCCUAGUAAACGCAAGUCAACAGCUUGCAUUGAUUACGUCCCUGCCCUUUGUACACACCGCCCGUCGCUACUACCGAUUGAAUGGCUUAGUGAGCCCGAGGGACUGUUGCACCUAGAGGGUUUUCUCUCCAGGAGCAGCCGGGAACUCGGUCAAACUUGAUCAUUUAGAGGAAGUAAAAGUCGUAACA
RNAcentral lists this ribosomal RNA (330 nucleotides) under uncultured eukaryote. RNAcentral describes it as "partial 18S ribosomal RNA". It matches the Rfam family "Eukaryotic small subunit ribosomal RNA", at positions 1470 to 1796 of the family's 1831-position model. The record is from RNAcentral.